GGUACCAAAUCCAGUUACACUUUUCACUACAAAGUGAAUGAUUGGAUCUUCACUAAGGUCAUCCACAAUUCUCAAAUGUGAACUCGGUAGCCAAGAGCAAUAUUGUUCUCCAUGUGGCCUGAGGAUAUAUACAAGAAUGACUCAGAUGGAAGUGUCCCUGUGAAAGGUACUUUGCCCGCAGUCAAAAAUGUACCUGCAUCAGUAUUCUAAUAAUGAAAUGGAAGCAUUCAAAACAAGAUUACAUUCUUGAAGUCAAGUUGCCUUAGGGUAAUACACAUCCAAAUAUAUGUCUGGUUUUUGCAACUCUUCUAAACAGGUAUCUAACAACAAUUUUUACAAAGCUUCAUGAUGAAAAUAGGCAAUAAUAUUGUACACUACAAUGAGCUUCGAUAUGGCUACUGAGCACUGCAAAUUAGUUUUCAUCAGUAGCUGAAUAAACUUGAAUUUUAAAGCAGGAGAGAAAAUGGUCAUUUACUGAUAACUAUGAGUGGCUUGGCUUUGGAGACUGUCAUAUGCUCAACGCUUUGAAACUACAAAUUAAUGACAGAGGAGAACAUUAACUGUCUUUCAAAAGGGACUGACCCUUUUCGUAUGGCACAUUGCUAAUGUCAUCUGUCGGCUGCAUCUAAUUACGGGAAUUUCAUGCAGUAAAAGUAACUCAAGGCCACUCAGAAAUAAAAAGCAACGUUCAAUUGCAAAUCGUUUUGAAAAUUGAGAGAAUACUUAAAAUAUCUUCCAAAGAUACUUGCUCGUUUCUUCCUGCACAUCGUUUACAUCAUCUAUUUACUGCCACUAAUUAUGUUAAUUUCAUGCCAUAAAAGUGACUUCAGGCUGUUCAGAAAUAAA
This is a long non-coding RNA of Amblyraja radiata (thorny skate), 846 nucleotides long. RefSeq lists it as uncharacterized. NCBI's taxonomy places the organism in Eukaryota, Metazoa, Chordata, Chondrichthyes, Rajiformes, Rajidae. The record is from RefSeq and is a predicted model, not a curated record. The transcript is spliced from 3 exons.